UACGUAGGGGGCAAGCGUUGUCCGGAUUUACUGGGCGUAAAGAGCGUGUAGGCGGCCAAGCAGGUCCGUUGUGAAAACUGGAGGCUUAACCUCCAGACGUCGAUGGAAACCGUAUGGCUAGAGUCCGGAAGAGGAGAGUGGAAUUCCUGGUGUAGCGGUGAAAUGCGCAGAUAUCAGGAAGAACACCCGUGGCGAAGGCGACUCUCUGGGACGGUACUGACGCUGAGACGCGAAAGCGUGGGGAGCGAACAGG
RNAcentral lists this ribosomal RNA (253 nucleotides) under uncultured bacterium. RNAcentral's name for it is "partial 16S ribosomal RNA". It matches the Rfam family "Bacterial small subunit ribosomal RNA", at positions 524 to 776 of the family's 1533-position model. The record is from RNAcentral.